Molecule: long non-coding RNA, 849 nt
Organism: Rosa chinensis
Lineage: Eukaryota; Viridiplantae; Streptophyta; Magnoliopsida; Rosales; Rosaceae
Exons: 6
Source: RefSeq, a predicted model, not a curated record
UAUACAAGCAUCUAAAGCCGAAUUACUGUUCAUUCAACUGUUCUAGACACUGUUCAUUUUGAAGUGGCGGUUUUGGCCAUCGUUUUUGUCUCAAUUACAGUUUGCAAUUACUUUUUGCACUGUGGUCUGUUUCUGCGUGGCUCUGUUUGCUUGCUCCACGAACAGAGAGGCAAAAAGGAUCGAGAGAGCCAGACAGGGCAAGAAGGAUCGAGAGUGUGCAGGUGUGUUUCUUUGCUUUGUGCGGAGAGAGAGAGAGGAGAUAUUCAGGAUCGAGAGAGUGCAGGUUUCACUCUUUGUGCAGGUAUUCUUUUCUUUUUUGGCAGUCUGUGUUUAAUCCGGAUUUUGUGCAUAUUGAAGGGGGAGAGGUUUGGACUGGAAACAAAGAAAACGACGAAUCUUGGUAUUAUUGCUGGUGUGGCUGCUCUGGUUUUUGGAUUCAAUGAGUUGCCUGAAGUGGGUUGGAGGGUGAAGAGGGUCUCAUCACUGAACGGUUCUGAAGCGGAGGAGAAGAAUGGCAAGAAAUAGUUAAUCUUUAUGUGAAUGAGAUACCCCAAAGUUUACCAACAUUUAGGAAUCUCAAUCAAUUGAACUUGGACCUCUUUUCAUACUGAAGUAAAAGUGAAGAUGUUGAUCGGGUGCCUGAUUCCAAAUUCUAACAAGACUGAUCGGGCUUCAAUGCUGGAUGAGGCAAUUGAGUAUUUGAAGCAGCUCCAGCUUUAAGUACAGAGGGGAGAAAGGAAGAAACAGAACAAGAAGGAGAAAGGAAGAAACAGAACAACGGGAAGGACAGAAGAGGCAGAGAUAUCCAACAGAGGAGAAGAACUGCUCUACUUCACAGAUUCAAGGCAC